This 253-nucleotide ribosomal RNA is filed under the name uncultured Terrimonas sp. RNAcentral's name for it is "partial 16S ribosomal RNA". It matches the Rfam family "Bacterial small subunit ribosomal RNA", at positions 524 to 776 of the family's 1533-position model. The record is from RNAcentral. Lineage: Bacteria; Pseudomonadati; Bacteroidota; Chitinophagia; Chitinophagales; Chitinophagaceae.
UACGGAGGGUGCAAGCGUUAUCCGGAUUCACUGGGUUUAAAGGGUGCGUAGGUGGGCUGAUAAGUCAGUGGUGAAAUCCCCGAGCUUAACUUGGGAACUGCCAUUGAUACUAUUGGUCUUGAAUGUCGUGGAGGUUAGUGGAAUAUGUCAUGUAGCGGUGAAAUGCUUAGAUAUGACAUAGAACACCAAUUGCGAAGGCAGCUAACUACACGAAUAUUGACACUCAGGCACGAAAGCGUGGGGAUCAAACAGG